GCCUGGGUGGCUCAGUGGUUGAGCAUCUGCCUUCAGCUCAGGUCAUGAUCCCGGGGUCCUGGGAUUGAGUCCUGCCUCAGGUU
Non-coding RNA from Canis lupus familiaris (dog), 83 nucleotides. Lineage: Eukaryota; Metazoa; Chordata; Mammalia; Carnivora; Canidae. The record is from Rfam.